Long non-coding RNA from Xiphophorus couchianus (Monterrey platyfish), 649 nucleotides. RefSeq lists it as uncharacterized. The transcript has 3 exons. The record is from RefSeq and is a predicted model, not a curated record. NCBI's taxonomy places the organism in Eukaryota, Metazoa, Chordata, Actinopteri, Cyprinodontiformes, Poeciliidae.
GCGGAGCUAGAGGGGGGGCCGGGGGGGCCAGUGCCCCCCCAGCCAUCUGAUUGGCCCCCCCAGCGGCCCCCCCAAAUGAUCGACAUGUCACGACACCCAGUCAUUCCUUCACAGUAGGUAGCACUAUGUACCACAAUGGGUUGUGACACUUGUGACUGUUGUGACUGCUCAAAAGCAGCAGGGGGCGAUAUGCACCAUUUACGUUUAUUGUGAUACACCAUUUGGACACAACAGAGUUGACCCAACAGAAGAAGAGAAGGAGAACCGCGAAGAGACGAUAGAGAAAUAUUGUACAGCUAAGAGGAAUACAGUCGAUUUGACUCCAAGACGGAUAAUCUGACUUCAAAGUUCCAUCAAAGGAGGAGUCUGAAAACACAGAAAGCUCUGCGCCUGACCAGGAUGAUGAUGAGCCAGAAGGGGCAAUUGCAGGAGAUACCACUGAUCUCUUCUCAGCAGUGUCCAGCACUCCUUUUGCUUUUCCAAAAGGACCCAGUGAUAUUUCAAAGUCAAAAGAACAGGGCCCUGUUCAGCCAAGUUUGACAAACUUCCCCAGAACUCAGCAUGGAACAAGAAAGAGAACUUUUCACAGCUCCUGGUACAAAGACUAUUCUUGGUUAGAAUAUUCUGUUAUUAAAGACUCCUCCUACUG